GCCCCGGUAGCCCAAUCGGCAGAGGCCAUGAGCUCAAACCUCAUCCAGUGUCGGUUCGAAUCCGACCCGGGGCACCA
Molecule: transfer RNA, 77 nt
Filed under: Nocardioides turkmenicus
Lineage: Bacteria; Bacillati; Actinomycetota; Actinomycetes; Propionibacteriales; Nocardioidaceae
Description: tRNA-Leu
Rfam family: tRNA
About the family: Transfer RNA (tRNA) molecules are approximately 80 nucleotides in length. Their secondary structure includes four short double-helical elements and three loops (D, anti-codon, and T loops).
Source: RNAcentral